Molecule: ribosomal RNA, 487 nt
Filed under: uncultured bacterium
Lineage: Bacteria
Description: bacterial SSU rRNA
Rfam family: Bacterial small subunit ribosomal RNA
Source: RNAcentral
ACAUAGCAAGUCGAACGCGAAAGGGGAACUUCGGUCCUGAGUAAAGUGGCGCACGGGUGAGUAACGCGUAGAUAACCUGUCUUCAUGUCUGGAAUAAUACGCCGAAAGGGGUACUAAUACCGGAUAUCUUGCUUUUCAUAAGUUAUGCAAGCAAAGGUGGCCUCUGCAUAUGCUACUGCAUGAAGAGGGGUCUGCGUACCAUUAGCUAGUAGGUGGGGUAAUGGCCUACCUAGGCGACGAUGGUUAGCGGGUCUGAGAGGAUGAUCCGCCACACUGGCACUGGAACACGGGCCAGACUCCUACGGGAGGCAGCAGUGAGGAAUAUUGCGCAAUGGGGGCAACCCUGACGCAGCGACGCCGCGUGAGUGAGGAAGGCCUUCGGGUCGUAAAGCUCUGUCAAGAGGAAAGAAGUGUACAAUGGCUAAUACCUGUUGUAUUUGACGGUACCUCUAAAGGAAGCACCGGCUAACUCCGUGCCAGCCGCGGC